UGGCCUACCCCAGUGGGCACUUUUUAGGUGCUCACAGCUGAAGACUUUCCAGUCUUCCUUACAAACAAGCGCUUUCUCACAUGUGCUGAUUUUGGAAGGCUUUGCUGAACGCCUUUGGACCUCACUCUCCCCACCAUCUAUUCUGACUCAUGCAGAUUUCAAAUGAAGAGUCUGUACAACUUGUGUAAAAUCAAAAACUAGAUGGUGCAGUUCUGAAGAGAAGCUGUGCAGAGACCCAAAUGAACAGGAACAGUACCAGCGGUUUUCACUGGCCUAGUACUUGCCAAAUAGGACAGACUGAUUUUCAACCCUGGAACUCCAGUCUGCAUUGCUCACUGCAACUGCUGCUUCUCAAUCCAGGGCUUUUCCACCUCACUCGUCUCACCUUCACAUGCCUGGUAGAUGCCAAUCAUAUAACUGACAGCCUUUGAUUGGAAUAUAUUAGCCAGAGGGAAAACUCAGGAAAACCAAAAGAGAAACACGGUCUGAGGAGCAGAGGGGCAGACACCAAGGUAGUGUCUCAGUGAACCUGACACAAGCUCCAGCAAGCCUCCUGCCGCCACCCUUCAAAGGGCCCAGGAUACAGGAGCAUGUGGCUGUGCCUGGCUUUUCAUGUGAUCUGAACUCAGGUCCUCAGCAUUGUGCAGCAAACACCCUUUAUCCACUGAGCUAUCACUCUAGUCCUUUGGUACUUUCUAUUGGACAAAAGCAAACUCUGUGGCAUUGGUGAGAAACGUCCAAUGAUACGUGGCCAGGGUCCCAGGAUUCAGGACCUCUUGAAAAAGGGGAGUCCACAUCAUCUGGAGAUGACUGAAGGCAUAUGAGAGGAUGUUCUAAGAUCGUAUGAAAACACUGCUCCAUUCUCCAGAAGGACCUUGAGCGUCUGUCAACUGUGGUAUCCACACAAGUCCUGACACCAGUCCUAUAACUAUGGGGGGAUGACUGGAUACUGCACGUAUCUCAAACUUACUGAGUCCCCAACAGAAACCUGGACAUUAAGAGAGACAAA
This is a long non-coding RNA of Nannospalax galili (Upper Galilee mountains blind mole rat), 1009 nucleotides long. RefSeq lists it as uncharacterized. The transcript is spliced from 4 exons. NCBI's taxonomy places the organism in Eukaryota, Metazoa, Chordata, Mammalia, Rodentia, Spalacidae. The record is from RefSeq and is a predicted model, not a curated record.